GACAAAUAUAUAGGGAUGUCCUCGACCAAAGAAACUCUUAGUCGACUAACACUCAUACGAUUUUGGCGACAAAUUGCUUACUUGAUUUAAUCGUCAGAAGUGUAAAACUGAGUUUCUCCAAUAGAAUCACAAAAGAGCACCACUUUAAAUCUUGUGUUUAUCAGAGAUGUGCUCUUAAGUUUCUUGGCAAUAAGUCGUUCAGCAUGAAAAAAGCAUAAAAAACGACUGAUCGACUAAAGAAAUCUUAGUCGACUAAGAUCAAAACGACCGAUUAGUUGACUAAUCAA
This is a long non-coding RNA of Sebastes umbrosus (honeycomb rockfish), 287 nucleotides long. RefSeq lists it as uncharacterized. NCBI's taxonomy places the organism in Eukaryota, Metazoa, Chordata, Actinopteri, Perciformes, Sebastidae. The transcript has 3 exons. The record is from RefSeq and is a predicted model, not a curated record.